GGCCUGCUGGCGAAAUGGCAUCGCGUCAGAUUUCGGCUCUGAAGAUUGCAGGUUCGAUCCCUGCGUAGGUCG
RNAcentral lists this transfer RNA (72 nucleotides) under Colletotrichum orbiculare MAFF 240422. RNAcentral describes it as "tRNA-Arg (TCG) (tRNA-Arg-TCG-1-1)". It matches the Rfam family "tRNA". From Rfam's summary of the family: Transfer RNA (tRNA) molecules are approximately 80 nucleotides in length. Lineage: Eukaryota; Fungi; Ascomycota; Sordariomycetes; Glomerellales; Glomerellaceae. The record is from RNAcentral.